This 467-nucleotide ribosomal RNA is filed under the name uncultured bacterium. Its description in RNAcentral is "partial 16S ribosomal RNA". It matches the Rfam family "Bacterial small subunit ribosomal RNA", at positions 29 to 507 of the family's 1533-position model. The record is from RNAcentral.
ACGAACGCUGGCGGCGUGCUUAACACCUGCCAGUCGAACGGAAAGGCCCUGCUUUUGUGGGGUGCUCGAGUGGCGAACGGGUGAGUAACACGUGAGUAACCUGCCCUUGACUUUGGGAUAACUUCAGGAAACUGGGGCUAAUACCGGAUAGGAGCUCCUGCUGCAUGGCGGGGGUUGGAAAGUUUCGGCGGUUGGGGAUGGACUCGCGGCUUAUCAGCUUGUUGGUGGGGUAGUGGCUUACCAAGGCUUUGACGGGUAGCCGGCCUGAGAGGGUGACCGGCCACAUUGGGACUGAGAUACGGCCCAGACUCCUACGGGAGGCAGCAGUGGGGAAUAUUGCACAAUGGGCGGAAGCCUGAUGCAGCAACGCCGCGUGCGGGAUGACGGCCUUCGGGUUGUAAACCGCUUUCGCCUGUGACGAAGCGUGAGUGACGGUAAUGGGUAAAGAAGCACCGGCUAACUACGUG